Molecule: unclassified non-coding RNA, 1524 nt
Filed under: uncultured Bordetella sp.
Lineage: Bacteria; Pseudomonadati; Pseudomonadota; Betaproteobacteria; Burkholderiales; Alcaligenaceae
Description: partial 16S-23S ribosomal RNA intergenic spacer
Rfam family: Bacterial small subunit ribosomal RNA (bases 575-1524)
Source: RNAcentral
CCCGUCAUGAAUCCUACCGUGGUAUCGUCUCCUUACAACUAUUUGUAAAAUUCCCAUGGUGUGACGGGCGAGGUGUGGCAAGACCUGAACGUGAGCUCGCCGCGACUACGCUGAACCCGCGAUUACUAGCGAUUCUGAUUACGCAGGGGUAAGACCAGAUCGCCCAUGACUGGUCGGGAUUAAUUUCCUUCUUCUCGCGGGUUGGCGACCCUCUGUCCUGACCACAUGACGUGAAAGCCCUUCCAUAUAAGGGCCAUGACUUGACGUCAUCCCAUCCGGCUUUGUCACCGGCAAGUCUCAUUAUUUUUCGUAGCAACUAAUGAUUGCGGGUUGCGUGUUCGCUGUUCUAACCUACCGAUAUUCACGACACGAGCUGACGAUUGCCAUGCAGCACCUGUGUUCCGGUUCGCGGCCUCCCAAAUUUUUCGGAGCAGACAUGUCGGGGCAGUAGUAGCGUUUUUCGCGCCGCAUCGAAUUAAUCCACCGGCUUGCUUGAGUUUUGUGACCGCCCCAGGCGGUCAAGCCACGCGUUAGCUGCAGCACAGCGCCCGAAGGCCCCCAACAGCUAGUUGACAUCGUUUAGGCGUGGAUCACCAGGGUAUCUAAUCCUGUUUGCCUCACGCUUUCGUGCAUGAGCGUCAGUGUUAUCCCAGAGCUUAACUUUGGAACUGGCAUUUAACUACCGAGCUAGAGUGUGUCAGAGGAGGUGGAAUUCCGCGUGUAGCAGGAAAUGCGUAGAUAUGCGGAGGAACAACGAUGGCGAAGGGCCUCCCGGGAUAACACUGACGCUCAUGCACGAAAGCGUGGGGAGCAAACAGGAUUAGAUACCCUGGCAGUUCACGCCCUAAAAACGAUGUCAAUUAGCCGUUGGGGCCUUCGGGCCUUGGUAGCGCAGCUAACGCGUGAAGCUGACCGCCUGGGGAGUACGGUCGCAAGAUUAAAAACUCAGCGAAUUGACGGGGACCCGCACAAGCGGUGGAUGAUGUGAUUAAUUCGAUGCAACGCGAAAACCUUACCUACCCUGACAUGUCUGAAUCCCGAGAGAUUUGGGAGUGCUCGCAAGAGAACCGGAACACAGGUGCUGCGGCUGUCGUCAGCUCGUGUCGUGAGAUGUUGGGUUAAGUCCCGCAACGAGCGCAACCCCCGUCAUUAGUUGCUACGAAAGGCACUCUAAUGAGACUGCCGGUGACAAACCGGAGGAAGGUGGGGGAUGACGUCAAGUCCCUAUGGCCCUGGCGGCAGGGGCUUCACACGUCAUACAAUGGUCGGGACAGAGGGUCGCCAACCCGCGAGGGAGCCAUCCCAGAAACCCGAUCGUAGUCCGGAUCGCAGUCUGCAACUCGACUGCGUGAAGUCGGAAUCGCUAGUAAUCGCGGAUCAGUGCGUCGCGGUGAAUACGUUCCCGGUCUGUACACACCGCCCGUCACACCAUGGGAGUGGGUUUUACCAGAAGUAGUUAGCCUAACCGUAAGGAGGGCGAUUACUACGGUAGGAUUCAUGAUUGGGGUGAAGUCGCAUGCGUAA